CUAUAUAUAACGUCAUAAUAAUAUCCGUCUUUGCCGAAAGAAGUAAUAAAUACAUAACGCGUCUUCCUUUCUUCUCUUGCUUACGUAUUACGGGGGCUGUCUUUUCGCCCCUCCUACGCAACUAGGAUCUGUGCGCUACUGAUACACCCGUUAUAACCCGUGGGUGGGUCUCUCUUUCUCUGUCUCUCCUACUCGAGCAGUCGAUAUUCAAUCAAAUAAAUCCCCCUAACAAACUGGAGAGUCACGGAUAGCAUCGAGAAACAAUUCGAGAGAAGGAGGGGAAUAAAGCGGCAGUGCAAAUCGGUAAGCGAGAGGGACAGAGAGAGACAAAGGGGCAAAACGAGGGAGGAAAAUAGAGAAAGAAAGAGGUGGGGAAAGAAGGAAAAGGGAACGAAUGAGAGACGUGGCGCAAGAGCGUUACAUAUCGCGGAGAUCCCGGUCCCGAGCUGAGACUGUAUAUUAUUUUAGCGCCUUAUCAGGUCCGUAUCACCCCUCGUCGGCGCACGUGGUGCCAUCCGUCCCCUACGACACAAUCACCCCCUGUCAGGAGACGCACGUCGUUUUGGAAAUUGAGACAUCGACACUCGUUAGGCGCGCGCGCAAUAGCAUCAUCCCUUGUGAGCAUUUCGCCGGUCGUACGAGCGCAUCGAAACCGCGUGACGAGAGGCGGUUUAUCGUUUCCGCGAUGCGAUGCACGCAUUAUUCUUCUGGGUCUAUUAAAAGCAUGAGUAAUGCUGUAACAUGGUAGAUCUUAAACGAUGUGUACGUAUCUUGGAGCGAAGUCGAUAAAACAAGGAAUGAUGCUAUUGCAUUUUCUUUUACUUUAUACUUUAUACUUUAUGUAGAAGCGUGACACAUUUUUAUCGUGUUAAGUACCUAAGUGUGCAAAUUAAUUCGGAGCUUUUAUUACAAAAAAAUAAUAAACAUGUUAAUCUUCGAAAUAUUCGCCACCAUUUUCUAAUACCUUUUUUCGUCUGUAUAUCGGACAGCUGAUAAAUUUCCCCUCGUAAAAAAGAAACUAAAUAAAGGCUCAAUUUCUUCAUUUUAAAAGACCGAAUUAAUUUGCCUAAUAGAUUAUUUCAAUUCAAUUUAUUUCAACUUUCGUCAAGAACGGACUUGGUUUACAUACUAAAUACUAAAUAUUAAAUAUUCCUGUUCUUUCUUUUUACUUAACUUAUAUAAUUUCAUCCUACUACCUUUAAACAGUUACACAUUUACACAUUUACACUUUCUUAAACUUAUCUAUAUAGGAUAUAAAUUACAUGAUUUACAAAAUUUACAUAAUUUACACAGCCUAAUAGAUUAUUAUUUUAUGUUUAUAUGGAAUUGUGUAUAUUAUUUAUGCUUCUUUUUUAUUUCAAGUUAGCAAUACCGUUAAUGAACUGACUAAAGAAUAUUACUAUAGACAAGAUUUCUAAGUAUAUUUGAUGUUUAUGAUAUUCAUAAAACUGGCCUUCUAAAAUUCGACAGUUUGCAUUUUCGUGUCUUCUUAUAAUAGCCAAGUGCUUUAUUAAUACUUUGUUACGAACUUUGACUUUAUCAACAUUAUUGUAUUAUGAUUUUAAUUCUUACUGAUUCUUUUUGAUAUUGAAAGUAUAAAAUUACAAACAAUCAGAUUGUUACAAAAUACAUACAAGAUUAUUCGAUGAAAAUAAAAUUCGUACUGAAAGCGCAGAUUCCACGGUUUGCAUUUUCGUCUUCUUGUAAUGCCAAGUGUUUUAUUAAUAUUUUCUUACAAUUUCAAUACUUGCAUUAUAAUUUUCUUAAUUUUUUUCUGAGACUGAAGAUAUCAAAUUAACAAAAACCUAGAUUGUUAUGAGAUACAAGAUUGUUCGAUGGAAAUGAAAUUUGUAUUGAAAGUGCAAUCUAAAUAUAUAUCGAUAUCACUUUACUUUAACAAGAUCAAGACGUAUCCUUUUAUAAGCGCUCCCAUAAAAUCCCGAUUCAAAGUCGAAGGACAAGCCAUUGGCAUGAGAGCAGGAUCAAGAGAGGGAUUGACAGCGCAAAAGAGAUAGCGGAUUGAAACCCGAGCUAAAAAGGCCUUCCAUUCGCGAGAUCGUCAGACUUUAAGUAGGUGAUAAAUUAAACGAGUCUCCUACGUCCCCUCCGCCUCGUCCUAAUACCUCCUAUAUCUUGGCCGCGAGAUUUUAAUGGAGUUUUUUUUAACCGAAACUUUUACUACCCCGGAUAAGCUCUUGUUAACUAUGUUUCACUGGGCCAGUCUAAUUACGUGAAUUUCGAGCAUCACUUAAAAAUCUGGCUUCAACAGCGAAAUACCAGAGGCAGUAUAACGGAUUAAUCGACACGGAGAUUUCGCUUAGGGCUACCUAAAAGCGCUCGUGAGACGCAAACUGCAACGAAAAGCGAACGUCGGAACCACAACUGUUAACUCAGCAAUGGCACUUAAGUGUCCACAAAGUGCCAAUAAUUGUAUUCCACGCGUCAUGAUAGUCAUUCAGAACAUCAAAAGUUGUGUUUGUUCGAGCAGUUUAACCUACGCUAAGUCGAGACAAUUUCUUGCUCUUCAGACAACUCAGAGAAGAGUUGAAGAAUGAAUGGUAAUGUUUGAGAAGUAGAUGAUAAUUUUAUUGUUAGUCUGUUAAGCUAAAAGUUUUCAACUUCCUAUCAAACUCAAAAAGAGAGAUAUCAAACAAUUGCAUCUUCUUUUAUUUUACUUAAAAUUACUCUGAAAAAUGCUUUCGCGAAGAAUUUCAUUGUGCGCGAUGGACAACUAAAGUUCUUUUAUCAUCACGUAUGAAUCACGUAAAAAUAUUUUAUCAUUACACGUGCGUCCUACAUUCAUGUAUCAGUAUUGAAAUCGGUUUCCAGUUCCAGUUUUUCCUUUUCUUUUAGGCUAAUGCGCACGUUGCAGAAAUGAAUUCUUUCCUCUGUUUUACAACAAUACCCCUCCAUUGUGACUCUGUAAGUGAACUAGGCUGGCCUUUUUCUUUUUCUCUUUCAGGUAUACACCAUUGCCAUUACGACGAUAUUAGUAGCAGUUGCCCAUCUUGCUGUAGUACGAAUGACGAAACUUUCCCGGCGACAGAAGGACCGGUGGGCGGUCCUCCGGGAUACCUGGAACUUUCGCAAGCUCCCGUCCAAUCGGCGUGUUGGAAGGCGAGAGAGAUAGAUAGAUAGAUAGAGAGAGAGAGAGAGAGAGAGAGAGAGAGAGAGAGAGAGAGAGAGGAUACACUGGCUACAGCACGGCCGGCGAAGAGAGGGGAAACAGAGAGCCUUUCCGUCGGGUAAAAAUAAUAACUUUUGUUGAAAUACGCAGUUGCGGUUAGACGCACGCGACACCAACUUCGUUUUACUUUCCAGCGUAUUCCGUUUUUCUACAUUAUCCUUCAGCUAUUCUUACAUAACAUUCUUAACCUUUGGUCUCGACGCCUCGCUACUAGUUACCAGGCUCAUGGGGAUGAUUCCGUUCAAAAUGGCGGCACACGAGACUCGGGGUAUCGCGACACGGAUACAACCGGAGGAAGUGAGACAACACCUGUGUGAAGAGCAAGAGGGAGGACAGAACCGACCGAAAAAGCGAAAGCAACAAGAACGGAAGGAGAGGAAAGGACAGAAAAAUGCAAAACUGCCACGUCAUUUUCCAGAAAUGGACCGGUGGAUGGACAGAAUGGCAACGCAUGAUAUAACGAGGACUCAAAGUCGCAGAAUGACGGAACGGACGCAGAGGGAGGAAACGCAGAAAUGCGCAGGGAAAAGGGUUGUGUGACGAAAGAGAGGGACCGAAAGUGGAUGAUGUCUGCGGGGUGGCAAGGGAGGACACAGAGAAAGCGAAUGGAAGAGCGAGAGAGAGAGCAAGAGAACAUCCUCGGCUACCAGCCAGCCAGUCAGCCAGCCCCGGCCAACAUCGACCGGGUAUUGUCGCGUAUGCGCCUGCGCCACUGUUAUCCAGGACUAUCAACCUUGCCUCAAUUCCUGAUCGUCCGUUUUCCAUGUCCUCCGUCCACGCUCACAGCUGCGUGUGUGGUUGUGAUUCUCUCUCUCUCUCUCUCUCUGUGUAUGCGUGCGUGUGUAUAUAUGGGUAUGCAUGCGUGCGUUCGCGCGCGCAGGUAUCAGCGCGCUCGCCCCGCGUUUACCCGCGAAUACGAGGCAUUACGUGCCGGGUGAUCGCGCGACGCCGAAUCGAUCGACGCGACGUCGAGAUUUCUGCCGUUCGCGGAUAGUCAUUUUCUGCGUGAUCGAUGAAGCUCUGAACACUCGAAACACGUUAUCGGGGAAACGAUUGUUUCCUGGGAGCAAUAUCCAGCAUGCUAGCUGUUGCGCUACUACCAAUAAGGCAUCGCUGUAACUCGCUGUUAAUAAGGAAAGUUAACCUAUCGCAAUUGUACUUUAGCGACGCGUCACGUAGAAGGCAACGAUGUAGCGAUAUUUUGAAGAAUUUUGUUUUUUAAAGGUUGUUUAUUCUGGUAUAAAACUAAUGUAUGACUAUAUUACUGUUAUAAGUAUGUGUACUGUUAUAAAUAUGUGUUUAGUUUGAUUCAUUGCCAUCUAAACGCGAUCGCGAUUACUUAGUUAAUGACCGAAUAAUAUAAUGUAUUUUUAAACAAAAUCUGUAAUUUGUCAGUUAUUAUAUAGAUUAUAAUUUUGCUAUCCUCUGCGUGCUAUUACGUGGAAAAAUUAAUAAGAUUAAUAAGACUAAUUCCUACAUUUUUGGUUAGAACUUUGAAUUUAAUGAUCACAUAAUAAUUUCAUAACUUAUGGAUGAAGUUCGCGAACCAUUAAUGGAUAUCACCGAUUUGUACAUCGUACAUGGAAAUGCAUGCCGAUCGCUACUGCAUCAUCCGCUGACACGUGUUUCGUCGAUUUAUCAAGACUAUUAAUGCUCAUAUCAAUGAGUAGAUUUCAACUACACUCAUCGUGCGAAUUACUGUUGCUUUAGUAAGAUUGGUCCACGUACGAAAAUGUUUAGCCAAAGCAAAAAUAAUAAUAUGCAAAUAUGCGAUAUGAAAAGAUUGUAAUUUAGCAAGAACGUACGUGAAAAUAAAACUAUGAGACAAAAUAGAAAUUUGCAAUAUUUAGAUUUGUUUAAAAAGCAUUUUCUUUUCAAAAAUGUACGAAUAUUGAAUAUGUAUAAUUAUCUACAUCUAAAUAUUAUUGAAGGAAAACUAAUUCUUAUUAGAUUGACAUGAUUUCAAGAACAUUGUAUCCUGAAUUGUUCCAUGAAUAAUUGACAUUUAUUUAUACAGAGAUGUCGCGAAUUAUAAUACCUAUAAGAUGGAAAUAAUUACACGGCAUCAUAUGAAAAGACAACGCAAACAAACAAAAUAUUUCAAGAGAGAGAGCGUUACAUUCGAAUGAAAAUCUCCCGUAAUCUUUUCCAAGUACUCUACGAGAAGGCAUAUCACGAAGUCCGAUAUGAAAUCGAUUAUUAACGUUGACUUCAGCGAAAGACCAAGGACCUAACGGCAUGGAACGAUUUCCGAAGUUAUACGACGUGCUUGGAAAGCUUUCGCCACGCCAAUACAAUGAAUGAUGUCAAUAUAUAGAAAAAACGUUUCAAAGCUUUUACGUACGCCACCAUGAACUUAUCAAUGUCGCUUUUAUGUUUGAUAUUGUUGACGGCAUUGCGAAAUCGCUUGCACGUCACGAAAUUUUAUUAUUUCAUCGAAACGACUGACGGGACCGUAGACUUUCAACUGGAAAUGAUUCUGACAUGGAUAACAUUUGCAAGUAUUUAUCCCGAUAUGCGAUAAAAAAACGGAGAGCUAUAAAAUAAUACGAUGUAUUAAUGUAUUAAUAAUGCACUUUAUACAUAAUAAAUUGUGCAAGCGUAACGCGAAAAAUAUGCGUCGCAUUUUUUAUUAUUACUAUUAUUGCUGUUUUUGUUGGCUCCAUUAGCGAAUAUUUCAUCCCAAUUUUGUCAAGUCGUGUUAAAACACUAUCAAGCUAGAAUAAGUAAAGGCACGUAAAAAGUUUACAAUAAAAUAAGUAAGUAAUAGUAAAUAAAAAACAUUGCAGACACAAUGGUAUAACACACAUUCACUUCAACUUUAAUAAUCUGUGAUAAUUGCAGCUUAAAUAAUUAUUAAAACUUUAAUAAACACAAGAUUAUCAUAUGCUUGGCCAGGACCGAUUCUCCACUUGCGUAUACGUGUGCACUCUUGUGGGUCUCCAGAAAUCCAUUCUAAGCGGUUAUUAAUUGACGCUCUUGGGCAGGGUCGAAUCGUCCACUUGGUGCCAGAAGCAACCGUACUUCGUCAUCCCACCCCGAAAACUAUGAGGCGUUUAAUUAACCCCAGGGUGCCACACAGAAAAGAGACUGGAGAAUUCAGAUGCAAAUACCCUAUGACGCAACUACGGGACGACCAUUUCUUUUUCCGAAUGGAACUCGGCUACCAGGACGGUCACUGACUUCUGUACGUUCGCGUGAGCUAAAUUUCAUCCGGAAAUAUUACCGUUUCUCAACACGAAAAGAAAACCCGUGUACAAAAAACGCAGAAAGAGGUGAAAAAGGUGAAAACGAUUUUUUCUUUGGAAUGGAAUGGUCUUGUUUUCUAAAAAGAGUAACAUUAUUUUUUUAAACGUGAUAUUACUUGAUGCAACCAAGUAUUUUCUAUAUAAAAUAUACAUAUAUUAAAGAUAUUCAACAACAACAUGCAAAUAUCUCAUAAAAGGAAAAAUAGACAGAAUGCAUAAAAACUGACAAGGAUCAGGAUAUGAUACUGAAUAUCUGAAAUAUUUGCUCAAUUUAAAUCGUAAUAAACAUAUAGAAAUAAAAUGCAGGAAAAUAGUGCAAGACGUAGAGUUGAAGAGAUUCGAAAGAUGGAUAAAAAAAGUAUAAUAUAUUAAGCGGUAGAAUGUUAAAAACGA
Molecule: long non-coding RNA, 6828 nt
Organism: Ooceraea biroi (clonal raider ant)
Lineage: Eukaryota; Metazoa; Arthropoda; Insecta; Hymenoptera; Formicidae
Source: RefSeq, a predicted model, not a curated record